CCUACGGGAGGCAGCAGUGAGGAAUAUUGGUCAAUGGGCGCGAGUCUGAACCAGCCAAGUCGCGUGAAGGAAGACGGUCCUAUGGAUUGUAAACUUCUUUUGUCAAGGAGUAAAACGCGGCACGUGUGCCUUUUUGCAAGUACUUGAUGAAUAAGGAUCGGCUAACUCCGUGCCAGCAGCCGCGGUAAUACGGAGGAUGCGAGCGUUAUCCGGAUUUAUUGGGUUUAAAGGGAGCGUAGAUGGGUGGUUAAGUCAGGCGUGAAAUUUAGGGGCUCAACCUUAAGCGUGCAAUUGAUACUGGUAGUCUUGAGUACAGUUGAGGUAGGCGGAAUGCGUGGUGUAGCGGUGAAAUGCAUAGAUAUCACGCAGAACCCCGAUUGCGAAGGCAGCAUACCAACCUGCGACUGACACUGAUGCACGAAAGUGUGGGUAUCAAACAGGAUUAGAUACCCGAGUAGUC
RNAcentral lists this ribosomal RNA (460 nucleotides) under uncultured bacterium. RNAcentral's name for it is "partial 16S ribosomal RNA". It matches the Rfam family "Bacterial small subunit ribosomal RNA", at positions 338 to 795 of the family's 1533-position model. The record is from RNAcentral.